This 1577-nucleotide long non-coding RNA is filed under the name Olea europaea subsp. europaea. Lineage: Eukaryota; Viridiplantae; Streptophyta; Magnoliopsida; Lamiales; Oleaceae. The record is from RNAcentral.
AACUCCAAGCAGGCCCUAAGGAUCGGUUGUCAACGCCGUGGAGGAGGAACUGAAGUUGCCAUCUACCUAAAUUCUGGAAUCCGAGGGAUUCGCAGCCUACACUUACAUCGAAAUCUACAUAUACGAACACAACUCCCUCGUCCUCUACUUUGACUUCAAAUAGACUCGUCAGUGAAAGCAACAAAAAACAUGAGGAGCUGCAGAAGCGUCUAUUUAUAUUACUGGGCUGUGGGGUUUAAUAUUAUUGUUGUGCUAUAAAACAAGACAAAGAAUUUCAGCAAUCAGAAUUUUCACACUUUUCAUUUGUUCUUUGACAGUUUAUUUCUUCAUCUUCAAGUUUGCCCAAGUUUAUUGUUUAAUUUUUGAUUUUUUGUUCUCUUCUUUUUUCGUUCGACAGCUGUACAGAGAAUCUCCACCUUCAUCUUCUUCAGCAUCAACUACAGCAAAUUCAGCGAUUCCUUAAUAAGGUAAUUAGCCCAUAGUCUUGCGGCUUAUGAUUAUAAUUCUUGUAAUUUUUUAUGAAGUUUUUAUGGGUUGAAAUAUUGCCAAAUUUAUUUAGUCAAGAUCCCAUUUCUCCCUGUUGAUAAAUUAGGGGUUAAUGAAUUUGAGAAGCAGGUUUUAGUAUCGUUUUGAUUUUGAAUUUUUUUUUAAAAAUCAAAAUUGAACAAUUCCAAUUAUUUGUUAAGGAAAUUUGCCAACAAUCUUACGCCUUACUGUAUAAAUUAGUUUACAAUUCCUUUGAUUUGUUAUGAAGGUUUAAUGGGAUUUAAGUGUCGCAUAAUUAAUUUAUUCAGGAGCCCUUUUCCUGUUUCACAAACUAUUUUAUUUUUCAUAAGUUCGAGACUUGCAUUUUAGUGCCGUUUUAAUUUUGAAUUUUUUGGUUCAAUUGAUACUAUCUUUGAGCUGCAAUUCACAUCAAUUUGUCAAUUUUUUUUAUAUCUGAAUACAUUUUAAGGAGUAGGAUUUCUCAACUAAUUUUUGGGUACUGGGGUAUUAUGGGAAUGGGCUGGUUAGUUCAGGGCAAUGGUUAGGCCAAGGUUUUGAGAAGAGUUAUUUGAAGAAGUAUGGGAAGAAAGAGCGUUGGUCUACAUUUUUGAGUCUUUGGCGUUCUUGCAGAUUCUCUUUUUUCGCCUUCUCUAUUGAUCCUGCUUAAGUUUUAUAGCUAUAGAUUUAUACCUUUAAUUUUUAUAGACUUGAUGCAAGAAGAUGUGAUGUGAAUGAUACUGCGUGAUUGAUGAUUCAGGUUCUUGAUUUAUGAUUUAUUGUUAGAUGUGAAAGUUUUUAUAAAUUGAUUUGUGGGGAAUUUCUUCAUGUGUUCUUGGUUAUUUGGUGAAAAUAAGUGUUAAUUAUCUGUUUAUUUUUUUGCUUCUAUAGCAAGUUGGUUGAAUUGAUGGAUAUAGUGGUGUACUAUUUAUUUGUUGAGUAAAUGUUCCAAAAAAAAAGAAUCGUUUUUUCAGUUUAUUUCUUAUCAGUUCGUGUAGAAUAUUUGCAUUUCCUUUAAUGAGUCUACAUUUUCUCUUUACAGGUCAUUUGCCUGAAGUUUAACUUGUACUUCUUAUUUCUACCUAUGAUGCUCG